UGGGGAAUAUUGGACAAUGGGCGCAAGCCUGAUCCAGCCAUGCCGCGUGGGUGAUGAAGGCCUUAGGGUUGUAAAGCCCUUUCGGCGGGGAAGAUAAUGACGGUACCCGCAGAAGAAGCCCCGGCUAACUUCGUGCCAGCAGCCGCGGUAAUACGAAGGGGGCUAGCGUUGCUCGGAAUUACUGGGCGUAAAGCGCACGUAGGCGGCUUGUUAAGUCGGGGGUGAAAUCCCGGAGCUCAACUCCGGAACUGCCUUCGAUACUGGCAAGCUCGAGUCCGGGAGAGGUGAGUGGAACUGCGAGUGUAGAGGUGAAAUUCGUAGAUAUUCGCAAGAACACCAGUGGCGAAGGCGGCUCACUGGCCCGGUACUGACGCUGAGGUGCGAAAGCGUGGGGAGCAAAC
RNAcentral lists this ribosomal RNA (401 nucleotides) under uncultured bacterium. Its description in RNAcentral is "bacterial SSU rRNA". It matches the Rfam family "Bacterial small subunit ribosomal RNA", at positions 355 to 773 of the family's 1533-position model. The record is from RNAcentral.